GUGAGGAAUAUUGGUCAAUGGACGGAAGUCUGAACCAGCCAUGCCGCGUGCAGGAAUAAGGUCCUAUGGAUUGUAAACUGCUUUUAUUCGGGAAUAAACCUCUUUACGUGUAGGGAGCUGAAGGUACCGAAGGAAUAAGCACCGGCUAACUCCGUGCCAGCAGCCGCGGUAAUACGGAGGGUGCAAGCGUUAUCCGGAAUCAUUGGGUUUAAAGGGUCCGCAGGCGGGCUAUCAAGUCAGAGGUGAAAUCCCACAGCUUAACUGUGGAACUACCUUUGAAACUGAUGGUCUUGAAUUAAGUGGGCGUUGGCGGAAUAUGACAUGUAGCGGUGAAAUGCAUAGAUAUGUCAUGGAACACCGAAAGCGAAGGCAGCUAACGAUACUUAUAUUGACGCUCAUGGACGAAAGCGUGGGUAGCGAACAGGAUUAGAAACCCCUGUAGUCC
Molecule: ribosomal RNA, 445 nt
Filed under: uncultured bacterium
Lineage: Bacteria
Description: bacterial SSU rRNA
Rfam family: Bacterial small subunit ribosomal RNA
Source: RNAcentral